RNAcentral lists this ribosomal RNA (482 nucleotides) under uncultured bacterium. Its description in RNAcentral is "partial 16S ribosomal RNA". It matches the Rfam family "Bacterial small subunit ribosomal RNA", at positions 29 to 523 of the family's 1533-position model. The record is from RNAcentral.
AAUGAACGUUGGCGGCGUGGAUUAGGCAUGCGAGUCGUGCGAGAACCGUAGCAAUACGGGGACAGCGGCGAAAGGGAGAGGAUUACGUGGAUACCUACCCUCGGAUUCAGGAUAGCUAUGGGAAACUAUAGGUAAUACUGAAUGAUGUCUUCGGAUCAAAGGUGUGAUUCCGUCCGAGGAGGGGUCAGCGUCCUAUUAGCUAGUUGGUGCGGUAACGGCGUACCAAGGCGAAGAUGGGUACGGGAUGUGAGAGCAUAAUCCCGCUCAUUGGGACUGAGACACUGCCCAGACACCUACGGGUGGCUGCAGUCGAGAAUCUUCGGCAAUGGGGGAAACCCUGACCGAGCGACGCCGCGUGUGAGAUGAAGGCCUUCGGGUUGUAAAUCACUGUCGUAGAGGAGGAAGUGUAGGUGGGUACUCCCACUUAUUUGACCUAUUCUAGGAGGAAGGACGGGCUAAGUUCGUGCCAGCCGCCGCAGUAA